RNAcentral lists this ribosomal RNA (507 nucleotides) under uncultured Glomeraceae. Its description in RNAcentral is "SSU rRNA". It matches the Rfam family "Eukaryotic small subunit ribosomal RNA", at positions 569 to 1078 of the family's 1831-position model. The record is from RNAcentral. Lineage: Eukaryota; Fungi; Glomeromycota; Glomeromycetes; Glomerales; Glomeraceae.
AGCAGCCGCGGUAAUUCCAGCUCCAAUAGCGUAUAUUAAAGUUGCUGCAGUUAAAAAAGCUCGCAGUUGAAUUUCGGGACUAAUAUGUCGGUCGUGCCUCGGUACGUACUGGUAUUUUUGGUUUCUCCCUUCUGACGAACCUUGAUGUCAUUAAUUUGGUGUCUUGGGGAAUCAGGACUGUUACUUUGAAAAAUUAGAGUGUUUAAAGCAGGCUCACGCUUGAAUACAUUAGCAUGGAAUAAUGAAAUAGGACGUUUGAUUCUAUUUUGUUGGUUUCUAGGAUUGACGUAAUGAUUAAUAGGGAUAGUUGGGGGCAUUAGUAUUCAAUUGUCAGAGGUGAAAUUCUUGGAUUUAUUGAAGACUAACUACUGCGAAAGCAUUUGCCAAGGAUGUUUUCAUUAAUCAAGAACGAAAGUUAGGGGAUCGAAGACGAUCAGAUACCGUCGUAGUCUUAACCAUAAACUAUGCCGACUAGGGAUCGGAUGAUGUUGAUUUUUUAAUGACUCA